Molecule: long non-coding RNA, 1261 nt
Organism: Beta vulgaris subsp. vulgaris (sugar beet)
Lineage: Eukaryota; Viridiplantae; Streptophyta; Magnoliopsida; Caryophyllales; Amaranthaceae
Exons: 2
Source: RefSeq, a predicted model, not a curated record
AAACCAAUCUACUUCCCAUUUGCUUGGUCGGUCAAUACAAGAUAAAACUUCAAAACCCAAACCUCAUAAACCUCUCUCUCUCUCCCGUGUCCUAUGUUCUCUCUAAACCCCCAAAAUUGAAAACCCCAAUAUUUCUCUCUCUCUCGUCCUGCUCGAGCUCCACCGACGAACGACCGCCGGACUUGCGCUGCCAUUGACGCGCUGCUGCUGCUCGUCGGUGUUCGCCUAUUGUCGCGUCUUCCCUUCGCCGGAGUUUCAUCUGCCGACUGUCGUUCUAUAGCCCCUGUUCCUCUCUCCGUCGUCGUUGUGUUGUUGUUCGUGUUCGGUGCUGCUUUGCAUCGCACCACGAACCACCGUGAAUCACCGGAGCUCUCUGCUCCCUUGUUUGUCCCUGUUCUGUUGAGCAGAGGUAUAAUAUUACCUUAUCCUCUUAUUUUGGUUUUCUAUUUGUUAAUUAAUUCCAAGUUAUUGUUGUUGUUUGUUGUUGUCAUUGAUGUGCUAUUGUUAUUGUUGUUGUUCUAUUGAAUUGUUGUAGUAGUUAUUGGUGGUUGUUCUGUUUUUAUGGUACUGUUGUGGUUGGAGUUAUUGUUGGUCCUGGAUGUCUUAGUGUUGUUGUUGUUAUGAUUGUGUGUGGUUGAUGUUGCUGUUGUAGUUGUGGUGGUGGUUGGUGUGGUUGUGCUGAUUGGUGGUGUGAUUGUAUGUUGGUUAGAAUUGUGAUUAUUGGAUGGCAAGUUCAGUUUACAUAAGCUGUAAUCAGGGAGUUGAAUGAUAAACGUAUGUAGAUUUUAUGUUGAGAAGGUGUUAUUUUUCUGUGUCCUAAUUCUAUUAGUUUGAGAAUUGAGUAAUUAAGGUUAUUGUCAUAAAGCAUCUGUAAAUUAGGAAUUAGUUAUGGUCUCGCUCUGCAGUUUAGAUUAGUUUAAGAAUAGUUAUUAAUUAUCGUUAUUGUUAUGAGGUAAACUGUUGGAGAAUGAUUAUGGAGUUUGAAUCUCAUCUGGAGAAGAAGAUUAAUGAAGAAGGUUGUGUUGUUGAAAUUGGAAUGCGUUCAGGUUUGAUAUUCAGAGCUCAGAAUUCGAAGUGGAGCAAGAUCAAGGAGUUAUAAUGGCUUAAGGAUUAUGCUUGUAUUUUAGAUAGAUGAUUUAAGAACAUUUAUUUAUAUUUCAUUGUAUAUAAUAUUUGGGAAUAUUAUUGGAGAUAUUGGUGUAAUUAAGGAUAUAUUUCCGCUGCGAAGUAAUUUUAUUAAGAGUUAAUUCUAGUUUAUGAA